GACGAACGCUGGCGGCGUGCUUAACACAUGCAAGUCGAACGAUGAAGCUGGAGCUUGCUCCGGUGGAUUAGUGGCGAACGGGUGAGUAACACGUGAGCAAUCUGCCCUUCACUCUGGGAUAACUGCGGGAAACUGUAGCUAAUACCGGAUACGAGACCUUGGGGCAUCCCAGGGUCUGGAAAGAAUUUCGGUGAAGGAUGAGCUCGCGGCCUAUCAGCUAGUUGGUGAGGUAAUGGCUCACCAAGGCGACGACGGGUAGCCGGCCUGAGAGGGUGACCGGCCACACUGGGACUGAGACACGGCCCAGACUCCCACGGGAGGCAGCAGUGGGGAAUAUUGCACAAUGGGCGAAAGCCUGAUGCAGCAACGCCGCGUGAGGGAUGAAGGCCUUCGGGUUGUAAACCUCUUUUAGUAGGGAAGAAGCGCAAGUGACGGUACCUACAGAAAAAGCACCGGCUAACUACGUGCCAGCCGCCGCAGUAA
RNAcentral lists this ribosomal RNA (483 nucleotides) under uncultured bacterium. RNAcentral's name for it is "partial 16S ribosomal RNA". It matches the Rfam family "Bacterial small subunit ribosomal RNA", at positions 28 to 523 of the family's 1533-position model. The record is from RNAcentral.